AAGGGUGCGUAGGCGGCCUGUUAAGUCAGGGGUGAAAGACGGUAGCUCAACUAUCGCAGUGCCCUUGAUACUGACGGGCUUGAAUGGACUAGAGGUAGGCGGAAUGUGACAAGUAGCGGUGAAAUGCAUAGAUAUGUCACAGAACACCGAUUGCGAAGGCAGCUUACUAUGGUUUUAUUGACGCUGAGGCACGAAAGCGUGGGGAUCAAACAGGAUUAGAUACCCCUGGU
Molecule: ribosomal RNA, 230 nt
Filed under: uncultured bacterium
Lineage: Bacteria
Description: partial 16S ribosomal RNA
Rfam family: Bacterial small subunit ribosomal RNA
Source: RNAcentral